CUAGGAAUGCUUCAUUAUUUCACCUUUCCAAGAAUUUGUAUUUGCCACGCGCGGGUUUAGUUCUCGUUUUCUUUUAAUCAGAUCAGGGUUUCACACCAACCAAACAGAAAAUAAACUAAAAAUACAAGAAAAAACAAGGGAAUUGCACAAUGAGUGGCAAAAUUAAGCCCAAAUUAAACACUGAAAACAAAUAGUAUGAUAAUAGACAAGAAAUACAUUUUGAUAAUUCAACGAAGAAACCCUAGAAAAUGAUCUCAAUCGAUGGGUAGAGAAAGAGAGACCUGACGAGAGAGAAAUCUGAAGUUGGAGAGGCCGAACUCGGAGCCUAAGGCCUUUCCUUAUAUACGCUGGUUUCGUUUCUCUUUGCCCCAAAAUUUCUCCAUUUUUUCCUAAUUGCCCCUAAGAUUUUGACGUUUUGUA
Molecule: long non-coding RNA, 420 nt
Filed under: Vitis vinifera (wine grape)
Lineage: Eukaryota; Viridiplantae; Streptophyta; Magnoliopsida; Vitales; Vitaceae
Description: long non-coding RNA (VVIN_LNC003319)
Source: RNAcentral